GAGAGCUUGCUCUCAUGAUCAGCGGCGGACGGGUGAGUAACACGUGAGCAACCUGCCUUUCAGAGGGGGACAACAGUUGGAAACGACUGCUAAUACCGCAUAAUAUUGCCGGCCGGCAUCGGCUGGCAAUCAAAGGAGCAAUCCGCUGAAAGAUGGGCUCGCGUCUGAUUAGAUAGUUGGUGAGGUAACGGCCCACCAAGUCGACGAUCAGUAGCCGGACUGAGAGGUUGAUCGGCCACAUUGGGACUGAGACACGGCCCAGACUCCUACGGGAGGCAGCAGUGGGGGAUAUUGGACAAUGGGGGAAACCCUGAUCCAGCGAUGCCGCGUGAGGGAAGAAGGUUUUCGGAUUGUAAACCUCUGUGGACAGGGACGAUAAUGACGGUACCUGUUUAGAAAGCCACGGCUAACUACGUGCCAGCAGCCGCGGUAAUACGUAGGUGGCGAGCGUUGUCCGGAAUUACUGGGUGUAAAGGGAGUGUAGGCGGGAAGGCAAGUCAGAAGUGAAAAUUAUGGGCUUAACCCAUAACCUGCUUUUGAAACUGUUUUUCUUGAGUGAGGCAGAGGCAAGCGGAAUUCCUAGUGUAGCGGUGAAAUGCGUAG
RNAcentral lists this ribosomal RNA (603 nucleotides) under uncultured bacterium. Its description in RNAcentral is "bacterial SSU rRNA". It matches the Rfam family "Bacterial small subunit ribosomal RNA", at positions 74 to 693 of the family's 1533-position model. The record is from RNAcentral.